AGGACGAACGCUGGCGGCGUGCUUAACACACGCAAGUCGAACGGUGAACUCCGCUUGCGGGGGAUCAGUGGCGAACGGGUGAGUAACACGUGGGCAACCUGCCCUCAGCUCUGGGAUAACUCCAAGAAAUUGGGGCUAAUACCGGAUAUGACUGCUGACCGCAUGGUCUGGUGGUGGAAAGAUUUAUCGGCUGGGGAUGGGCCCGCGGCCUAUCAGCUUGUUGGUGGGGUGAUGGCCUACCAAGGCGACGACGGGUAGCCGG
RNAcentral lists this ribosomal RNA (262 nucleotides) under uncultured bacterium. RNAcentral describes it as "partial small subunit ribosomal RNA". It matches the Rfam family "Bacterial small subunit ribosomal RNA", at positions 26 to 290 of the family's 1533-position model. The record is from RNAcentral.